CCUACGGGGGGCAGCAGUGGGGAAUAUUGGACAAUGGGGGCAACCCUGAUCCAGCCAUGCCGCGUGUGUGAAGAAGGCCCUCGGGUUGUAAAGCACUUUCAGUGAGGAAGAACGCCUGGUGGUUAAUACCCAUCAGUAAAGACAUCACUCACAGAAGAAGCACCGGCUAACUCCGUGCCAGCAGCCGCGGUAAUACGGAGGGUGCGAGCGUUAAUCGGAAUUACUGGGCGUAAAGCGCGCGUAGGUGGCUUGAUAAGCCGGUUGUGAAAGCCCCGGGCUCAACCUGGGAACGGCAUCCGGAACUGUCAAGCUAGAGUGCAGGAGAGGAAGGUAGAAUUCCCGGUGUAGCGGUGAAAUGCGUAGAGAUCGGGAGGAAUACCAGUGGCGAAGGCGGCCUUCUGGACUGACACUAACACUGAGGUGCGAAAGCGUGGGUAGCAAACAGGAUUAGAUACCCUGGUAGUC
RNAcentral lists this ribosomal RNA (465 nucleotides) under Vreelandella stevensii. RNAcentral's name for it is "partial 16S ribosomal RNA". It matches the Rfam family "Bacterial small subunit ribosomal RNA", at positions 338 to 795 of the family's 1533-position model. Lineage: Bacteria; Pseudomonadati; Pseudomonadota; Gammaproteobacteria; Oceanospirillales; Halomonadaceae. The record is from RNAcentral.